GAUGAACGCUGGCGGCGUGCCUAAUACAUGCAAGUCGAGCGAACGGACGAGAAGCUUGCUUCUCUGAUGUUAGCGGCGGACGGGUGAGUAACACGUGGAUAACCUACCUAUAAGACUGGGAUAACUUCGGGAAACCGGAGCUAAUACCGGAUAAUAUUUUGAACCGCAUGGUUCAAAAGUGAAAGACGGUCUUGCUGUCACUUAUAGAUGGAUCCGCGCUGCAUUAGCUAGUUGGUAAGGUAACGGCUUACCAAGGCAACGAUGCAUAGCCGACCUGAGAGGGUGAUCGGCCACACUGGAACUGAGACACGGUCCAGACUCCUACGGGAGGCAGCAGUAGGGAAUCUUCCGCAAUGGGCGAAAGCCUGACGGAGCAACGCCGCGUGAGUGAUGAAGGUCUUCGGAUCGUAAAACUCUGUUAUUAGGGAAGAACAUAUGUGUAAGUAACUGUGCACAUCUUGACGGUACCUAAUCAGAAAGCCACGGCUAACUACGUGCCAGCAGCCGCGGUAAUACGUAGGUGGCAAGCGUUAUCCGGAAUUAUUGGGCGUAAAGCGCGCGUAGGCGGUUUUUUAAGUCUGAUGUGAAAGCCCACGGCUCAACCGUGGAGGGUCAUUGGAAACUGGAAAACUUGAGUGCAGAAGAGGAAAGUGGAAUUCCAUGUGUAGCGGUGAAAUGCGCAGAGAUAUGGAGGAACACCAGUGGCGAAGGCGACUUUCUGGUCUGUAACUGACGCUGAUGUGCGAAAGCGUGGGGAUCAAACAGGAUUAGAUACCCUGGUAGUCCACGCCGUAAACGAUGAGUGCUAAGUGUUAGGGGGUUUCCGCCCCUUAGUGCUGCAGCUAACGCAUUAAGCACUCCGCCUGGGGAGUACGACCGCAAGGUUGAAACUCAAAGGAAUUGACGGGGACCCGCACAAGCGGUGGAGCAUGUGGUUUAAUUCGAAGCAACGCGAAGAACCUUACCAAAUCUUGACAUCCUUUGACAACUCUAGAGAUAGAGCCUUCCCCUUCGGGGGGGCAAAGUGACAGGUGGUGCAUGGUUGUCGUCAGCUCGUGUCGUGAGAUGUUGGGUUAAGUCCCGCAACGAGCGCAACCCUUAAGCUUAGUUGCCGUCAUUAAGUUGGGCACUCUAAGCUGACUGCCGGUGACAAACCGGAGGAAGGUGGGGAUGACGUCAAAUCAUCAUGCCCCUUAUGAUUUGGGCUACACACGUGCUACAAUGGACAAUACAAAGGGCAGCGAAACCGCGAGGUCAAGCAAAUCCCAUAAAGUUGUUCUCAGUUCGGAUUGUAGUCUGCAACUCGACUACAUGAAGCUGGAAUCGCUAGUAAUCGUAGAUCAGCGUGCUACGGUGAAUACGUUCCCGGGUCU
Molecule: ribosomal RNA, 1373 nt
Filed under: uncultured bacterium
Lineage: Bacteria
Description: bacterial SSU rRNA
Rfam family: Bacterial small subunit ribosomal RNA
Source: RNAcentral